UACGUAGGGUGCAAGCGUUGCCCGGAUUUAUUGGGCGUAAAGGGCGCGUAGGCGGCUCGGCACGUCCGUUGUGAAAUCGCCCGGCUCAACUGGGCGGGGUCAGCGGAUACGGCCGAGCUUGAGCAAGCUAGGGGGCAAUGGAAUUCCCGGUGUAGUGGUGGAAUGCGUAGAUAUCGGGAGGAACACCGGUGGCGAAGGCGGUUCUCUGGGCCUUACCUGACACUGAGGAGCGAAAGCGUGGGGAGCGAACAGG
This 253-nucleotide ribosomal RNA is filed under the name uncultured bacterium. Its description in RNAcentral is "partial 16S ribosomal RNA". It matches the Rfam family "Bacterial small subunit ribosomal RNA", at positions 524 to 776 of the family's 1533-position model. The record is from RNAcentral.